RNAcentral lists this ribosomal RNA (484 nucleotides) under uncultured bacterium. RNAcentral's name for it is "partial 16S ribosomal RNA". It matches the Rfam family "Bacterial small subunit ribosomal RNA", at positions 30 to 507 of the family's 1533-position model. The record is from RNAcentral.
AUUGAACGCUGGCGGAAUGCUUUACACAUGCAAGUCGAACGGCAGCACGGGGGCAGCCCUGGUGGCGAGUGGCGAACGGGUGAGUAAUACAUCGGAACGUGCCCGGUCGUGGGGGAUAACGUAGCGAAAGUUACGCUAAUACCGCAUACGAUCUGAGGAUGAAAGCGGGGGACCUUCGGGCCUCGCGCGAUCGGAGCGGCCGAUGUCAGAUUAGGUAGUUGGUGGGGUAAAGGCCUACCAAGCCGACUAUCUGUAGCUGGUCUGAGAGGACGACCAGCCACACUGGGACUGAGACACGGCCCAGACUCCUACGGGAGGCAGCAGUGGGGAAUUUUGGACAAUGGGCGCAAGCCUGAUCCAGCCAUUCCGCGUGCAGGACGAAGGCCUUCGGGUUGUAAACUGCUUUUGUACGGAACGAAAAGGCUCUGGCUAAUACCUGGGGCUCAUGACGGUACCGUAAGAAUAAGCACCGGCUAACUACGUG